RNAcentral lists this ribosomal RNA (488 nucleotides) under uncultured fungus. Its description in RNAcentral is "eukaryotic LSU rRNA". The stretch from base 78 to 231 matches the Rfam family "5.8S ribosomal RNA". Lineage: Eukaryota; Fungi. The record is from RNAcentral.
UUAGUAGGCUAGCCGAAAGGUUAUGCCACAUAGACGCUUGCUUAGUUUGACAGAGUUUAGUUGCAAUCAAAAAAUACAACUUUUAACAAUGGAUCUCUUGGCUCUUGCAACGAUGAAGAACGCAGUGAAAUGCGAAACGUAAUGCGAUUUGCACGAACCUGUGAGUCAUCAAGUCUUUGAACGCACCUUGCACCAUAUGAGCAAUCGUAUGGUAUACCUGUUUGAGAAUCGUAAAAACCAACUCCUACCCUUGGGUAGGGAAGUGUCGGUUUGAGCUAGCUCAAUCUGAUCAAAAGCAGUAGGUCUAGUCAGGCUGGUGGCCUGGGACAUUGUGUGCUAGAGACGUCGUUCGCGGCAGUCUUCUCACGAUGCGUCCCUGGGCUAUUCAAGCUGGUCUGAUGUCGAUCUCUACGUGUUUUGACCGUCAAAAGUCAAAACACAACCCCCUUUUUGAUCUCAAAUCAGGUAAGGCUACCCGCUGAACUUAA